RNAcentral lists this ribosomal RNA (334 nucleotides) under uncultured eukaryote. RNAcentral's name for it is "partial 18S ribosomal RNA". It matches the Rfam family "Eukaryotic small subunit ribosomal RNA", at positions 1470 to 1796 of the family's 1831-position model. The record is from RNAcentral.
CCCUUAGAUGUCCGGGGCCGCACGCGCGCUACACUGAAGGAAUCAGCGUGGCUUUCUCCCCGACCCGAAAGGGUUGGGAAACCCGUUGAAUCUCCUUCGUGAUAGGGAUUGGGGCUUGAAAUUGUUCCCCAUGAACGAGGAAUUCCCAGUAAGCGCGAGUCAUAAGCUCGCGUUGAUUACGUCCCUGCCCUUUGUACACACCGUCCGUCGCUACUACCGAUUGAACGGUUUAGUGAGGGCCUCGGAUUGGUCUCGGCCCGCUCUUUACCGGGCGGCGCCGUUGGUCGAGAAGACGCUCGAACUUGAUCGUUUAGAGGAAGUAAAAGUCGUAACA